UAAAUGGUCCUUUUCAGGGCCAUCAACAUUUCACAAAAAGAUUCU
RNAcentral lists this non-coding RNA (45 nucleotides) under Mytilus galloprovincialis (Mediterranean mussel). It matches the Rfam family "Histone 3' UTR stem-loop". Rfam says of the family: The mRNAs of metazoan histone genes lack a poly-A tail. Lineage: Eukaryota; Metazoa; Mollusca; Bivalvia; Mytilida; Mytilidae. The record is from RNAcentral.